AAAAAAGCUUUUUCCGCCGCAAGUAGUAGCCAUACUCCGGAUCAUCGGAAAUAACCUCAGAAUUUAUUUCAUUCGACAACGAUCAUCACACAAGAACUCACAUCGAGAUCCACUUCAUAUUCGUCGUUUUCACCUCCGAUCGCGACCAUUGCCGUUGCAACAGUACUGAACUUUCAGGUGAUGGCAAGUUUCUAUAAUCUGGCACCGUAUUUUACGAUCUCUAUUUUUCAACGAUACCCAUUAUCACCUCCGUCGAGGUAACGAUAACGAUAGCAGAAAUAUAAAUAUAUAUGUAUGUAAAUUGAUGACUGGUGUUUAAUUAAUUUCGAUUGAAUUCAGGCGGGGAAAAUUGAUGUGAAGCAGAAAUCAGCAACAACGGCGAAGAUCGAUAGAAUUGAUCGGAAAGAGGAUCGAUCUCUUUAAACGGAAGCAUCUUAUUAUUACGGUGAGGAUAAAAUUUAAAACACUCCGGUUGACGUUAAAACUCCACAAGAAGACUAAACAGACUAAACAGAAGAAACAUGUUGUGCACUGUUUACUAUCGGACAUGGUUUUCGACACGACACCUAACAGCAUCACCGGCGACGACAUCAUCUGCAUUUAAUCAUUUUUUAAAUUAGAUUUAUACUUGGUUUUGUAUCGGCAAAACGCCGUGUAAGUACGUAAACCUUCUAAACCAUGCAUAAACCCUAACACGAUCCAUUAUGAUUUAUACGAAAGUAAUCUGCUCUAUUUCCAUCGAAAA
This 745-nucleotide long non-coding RNA is filed under the name Zostera marina. RNAcentral describes it as "long non-coding RNA (ZMAR_LNC006161)". Lineage: Eukaryota; Viridiplantae; Streptophyta; Magnoliopsida; Alismatales; Zosteraceae. The record is from RNAcentral.